This is a long non-coding RNA of Manacus vitellinus (golden-collared manakin), 1035 nucleotides long. RefSeq lists it as uncharacterized. Lineage: Eukaryota; Metazoa; Chordata; Aves; Passeriformes; Pipridae. The transcript is spliced from 3 exons. The record is from RefSeq and is a predicted model, not a curated record.
GGAGCCCUGGAACCCCCAGGCAGGGCCGGGGACAUUCCUGCACUUUCCCGUUCCAGGCUCCCGCUCUGGGGAUCCAGCCCCGUCGAGGAAGCCAACGGGAAGGAGGAGGUGGAUUCAGAGGACCUAUCACCGAAACUGGCCUUCUUGUGGUUAAUUAAUGCUACCUAAUUAACGCUACCGAGGGCUCAGCCCCUCCUGUGGGGGGACGCGGGACCCAGCCCUCCCUCCGGCAGGAUUUCUCCGGAGUCACCACGUGUCCAGGCUCCUGCUCCAGCGAUCCAGAGGGAUUUAGGAAGGCCCAGGAAGGGGGUGCAGUGCUUCUGUCACCGUAAUUAACCCAGCUGUAGUUAAUUAAAGCUGGAAUCCCCCAGGAAUGCUGAUCUGGGACACUUCCCAUCCCCGGAGGUCCAUCUGGUGUCACCCCCUGUCCAGGGGAGGGUGGUCACCUUGUCACCUGCACCACCCUCCCCGUGCCAGCGCCCUCGUCCCACAGGGAUUUAUCCUGCAGACGUGGAUGGAGGAGCAGCUGGGGCAACGUGGCACUUUCCCUGUGGGAGAACGUGGAUCCAGCUGCACCAGAACCAGGGAAUUAAACGUGAAACCAUGAUUUUUCCAAUUGACAAUUGAGAGCCUUUGUCUCCUUCUGUUUUAGGUCCUGAUGUCCCUGCAGCCCAGUGUCCCUGAGGCCCAGUGUCCCAGUAUCCCUGAAUCCUGAUGUCCCCAGGGCCCUGUGCCCACAUCCUGGUGUCCCCAUGCCUGAAAAACCAGGACAAGUGGGCUGGGAAAACUGGGUGCAGAGUGAGUUUUCCCAGCUGGAAGAAGAUGGCUCCAGUCCCUCUGGGAUCUGGAAAGCUCUCGAGGGGCUGCUCCUGUGCCAGAGCUCAUCAAAUCCUUCAGUUAAUGGAUGGAAUAAUUCAAUUAAUGGGCCAAGUGAUUCAGUUAAUGGGGCAUAUAAAUUAAUGGGUCAAUUAAUUAAUGGAUCGAAUAAUCCAAUUAACGAGUUCAAUAAAUGAAUGGAAUGUUGUAGGGUAAAAA